AAAACUGCGCAGUGGCAAUAUCGUAACCAAUGAAGUUAAUCUGAGGUGCGAUUAUUGCUAGUUGAAAACUUGCUUGAAUGAAACAUCAAUUAAAAUGUGAAAUAAUGCGACAAUAUUCGUAAGAAAUACUCAAUA
Bacillus rossius redtenbacheri is the source of this 135-nucleotide small nuclear RNA. RefSeq annotates it as U4 spliceosomal RNA. The record is from RefSeq and is a predicted model, not a curated record. NCBI's taxonomy places the organism in Eukaryota, Metazoa, Arthropoda, Insecta, Phasmatodea, Bacillidae. The transcript has a single exon.